Long non-coding RNA from Oreochromis aureus, 279 nucleotides. RefSeq lists it as uncharacterized. NCBI's taxonomy places the organism in Eukaryota, Metazoa, Chordata, Actinopteri, Cichliformes, Cichlidae. The transcript is spliced from 3 exons. The record is from RefSeq and is a predicted model, not a curated record.
GCGAGUACUUGGUCCAAGUUGGGCAAGUUGGUGUUUUUUAACUUUCUAUGAAAGUCUGAUACGGGUCCCCCUAAACUUCUGUUAGAACGGUGGGAAACAUUGCUCCUGUGAGAACAGUAUAGUGGACUUCAUCGCCACUGACCCACAUUUAUUAGGGUGUGACACGAACUUGUGGACAGAGUACCGAGCUGCUGCUUUGCCAAGUGGAUUUCUGGCUGCGGGCAAAGGACCUGACACAUCAGUGUGUUUUAAUUUGUUUUAAACUGGUGUAAUUUGACA